Molecule: long non-coding RNA, 887 nt
Organism: Triticum aestivum (bread wheat)
Lineage: Eukaryota; Viridiplantae; Streptophyta; Magnoliopsida; Poales; Poaceae
Exons: 5
Source: RefSeq, a predicted model, not a curated record
UGCGGAGGUCGUGCGUGUGCUACAUGUGCAUCUGACGGUCGUGCGUGUUGCUGGCGGACAUGGAGGAGUCCGCGCAGCCCAAGCCCGCCGACCCCUCGGAACCGGAGCUCUCCUCGGACCCUCCCAAGGGCGCGGGGACGAACGCGGACGGCUGGCGUCCUCUUCGUGCGACAUGCGGUGCUGGCGGCGGGGUCUGGCUAGCGAUGUCGAGAUCCGCAGGUGAAUCGGCGACUGGUGAAUCGACCCGUCCCCGCGGCGAGCCAUGAGUUAUAUUUCGUGUCUGGAGCGUGAAUGGAACUGAUGGGAGGUGGAGCCCUGUAUGGAUCCGCUGUCCCCGCACACACCAUCAAGUCACGACCAAGAGACAGAGAAAGCAUAGGUUGCUCGGGUGCAUGCUAGAGGCUAGAGCUGCAGGAGGCUCGGCGGGAGCAUCCUGCUGCUUGGCGGUGGACGACAAGGACUUCCUCGCACACGAUUUGUCUUCUAAGAUUUACGGCGCCAAGGGCGACCAUGAAGGCAUGUUGCCGUUUUGUUUGUUCCCAGCCCGACUAUGGUUGUCCAGCGAGUCCAGCAUGUUGUUAUUUGCCCCAGUUUUUCUGGUUCUUCUCUGUUGAUUCAUGUAACAGUGCGAAUGAGGAACCAUUUUGUUUGUUCCCAGCCCGACUAUGGUUGUCCGGUGAGUCCGGCAUGUUGUUCAUCUGUCUAUGGUCGUCCAGCUAUUUUGGCAUGUUGUUCAUGACGCGAGCGGGUGCCUAGUUUGUGGUUGCUAUGGAAGGAGCUUGUAGAGCUUCUAAAGUACUGUAUUACACUUGUAGUCGUUACUGUGAUUUCCAUUAUAUUACAUUAUCUGGUUGCUCUUAUUUGGAGUAUCAUGUGUGUUUUCUAUC